Molecule: non-coding RNA, 29 nt
Filed under: Mus musculus (house mouse)
Lineage: Eukaryota; Metazoa; Chordata; Mammalia; Rodentia; Muridae
Source: RNAcentral
UAAAGUUGUAACUGCCUACCUUCAGCACC